AUGUAUCACUGACUUUCCCUCCAUUUCCUUCUUUUCAUGUGCUAAAUGUAGAUUCACUGAGCACCAAUAAUAAGAGCUCACAAGGAUGUAACCACUUGCCUCACUGUCUACCCUCCUUUUCUUCCCCCCUCCUGCUUGCUCUUUCCCCUUUAAAUACUGAAGUUCCCCAAAUCCUCUUUGGGAAAAGCAUAGGACAGGUCCUCCUGUGACUGGUGUUUCUUUUUCCCAGGCACGUCCUCAAUCUUGGCAAAAGAAACCUCUAAUGGAUUGAGUGCCGCCUCAGUCACAUUUUCAUUUACACUUUCAACCUUUUCUGACUUCAUCCUCUAGGGUAUUUCUUUCAUGCACAUGUGAAAAAUCAAACUCUACAAAGCAGCUGUUCAUUCCCUUGAAUCCUGACACUUAAAUAACAUCACAACUAAGAGAGCUGCUUUCUCAGGACAGCCGUUCAGAACCACAAGACUUCAGAGAUUCUGGCCCCAAGCCUGUUUCCUGCUGAGGCCCAGCUCACCACGGCGGAAUUUAUCCAGCAGCUGGGACGGUUGGCACCAUCUGCUCAAGAAAGCUGGGAUGAUGAAAAUGUGUGGCUGCAGAACUGAACAGUGGCCAAACUUGUGAGGCAGUAAAGCCAAGGCAGCAUAUAUAGCUACCUGCACUUUGGAACUGUGCUGACUUAUAAUUAUAGAAUGUUUACAACUUGAAGGGACAAUAAAAACCCUUGACUGGUUUAUUAUUUAAAUAAGGGAAAUAAUUUCCUUCUAAAAGUAUCUUGCCUAGAAGACCAUGAACCUGGCCCUUUGCUUUCAUUUUACAGAUGGAUAAACAGAGGCCCGAGAGCCACCCAGUGAGUCAUUAGCAGAGCUGGUGGUGGGCUCUAGGUCUCCUGACCCUGAGACCCUCCCAACACCCACCCAGCUGCUGAGAGGCUCUGCCCAUUGCUUUCCUCUGCACAACACUCCCUUCCAGGCCAAGGCACUGGUGAAGGGGCCCAGGUACAUUUUUUGGGAGAGGAUGACACCCAUAGGUCUUGCCGGUUCCUGCAACAGAAUGGGCAUAUUCUCCUGACCACGAGAAAACACUGCAAACCAGAAAGCACAUAGCAGCCUACCUUCGGUCAUCUUGCUUGGGUGCUGGCUUCCAGUGGUCGUAAUUUGUCUCAACUCGGAACCACCUAUAACAGAGCACAUCAUCUUGUCUUAUCCACGACAAAUUACGACAUAGCAAAAGAGACAUAUGAACAAAUUUUAAAUACCCCUCAUUCCACCAAUUUAAAAACAUGAUUAUUUGAUACAGAAUGACCAGAGGUUUCAGUUCUACUUACGCUCCAUUCAAAGGAUCUAGAGGCCAAAUGUCUGCUGGGCCAUCUCUGUUCCUUGUGAUGACCACCCCCUCCUGGGGGGAUGUGCCACCAACAAUGUAAUAAACAUCAGCAAUGAGGGGAGUCUUGGCCAACUUCUUAACAGCUGCUUCGAAGUUUUCUGACUCAUUCAGGGUCUGAACAAAAAGAAGAACUUGCAUGAGCAACCUCACCUGCAGCUGGGUCCGUACCAGAUGAUGCAAAAAUGAUCCAAAGCACAUUCUCCUGAUAACGUUAUGUCAUGACUAUCACUUUGAUUUGCUCUGACCUUAUCCUCUUGCAAUCAGGGCUCCUAAGACGGAAGAAAUUUCAGCUUCAAAGGGGGUGCCAGGAGCAGCAGGAAUUUCUGACAGGAGGAGAGAACUGUUGACAAGUCCUAGGCCUGGCUCAGCAAACAUGGGCUGUGUGCUCUCCAGGCAGAUCGCCCUCACAAAGGACUCCUCAUGCUUCUUCAUUCAUUUAUUAUUUCAACAGGGUUUUCUUGAAUACCUACUCUGUGCCAGGCACUGUGCUGGUGUGGGGAUAGAGCAGUGAAUGAGUCGACUGGUCCUAUUCUCCCCAAACCUCUGAGGAAGACAGAAAAGUCAACAGCCAAUGGUGACACAGUGUAAUGAGUGUUCACAUAGGGGAAGAUGCUAUGGAUGUCACCGUAGGGGACCCAUCCUCACCAAAGGCAGUGGAAGAAGUACUGCAGGGAAGCAUCACAUGAACUGAAGCCAAAGAGACAAACACAAGUGAGUGGUGAAAGUGGUGGUUGCAGGGUGAGGAGUGGCAGUGGGGAGGAGGGUUCUAGUUCGAUGGACUAGACUGGCAAAGGUUUGGGGAUGAAAGAGCAUGUGCUACAUUAGGGCCCUGAGCUUAAUAGGUGUUCAGACACCCUGAGGGCCCAGGAAGACUUCCAAAGGCCUGUGGCAAGGAUACUUAAGGGGAUCACUCCCUGAAUCUUCAGAUUCCAUAUGGGCUCCUUCCCAGUGCUGAUCUGCUCAAGAAUAUCCUUCGGUGGAGGGCCUGCUCUUCCUGUCUCCACCUUCACAACCAUUCUGCCGCCAUGUUUUAAAGGAAGUACAUUGUAUGCUCACCCAUCCUGGAUAUUGCCAGGGCACAUUGUCAAGGGUGGAGGUGGUGACAGGGUCAAAUAAAAGAACAAUUCAAGAUA
Long non-coding RNA from Piliocolobus tephrosceles (Ugandan red Colobus), 2513 nucleotides. RefSeq lists it as uncharacterized. The record is from RefSeq and is a predicted model, not a curated record. The transcript is spliced from 2 exons. Lineage: Eukaryota; Metazoa; Chordata; Mammalia; Primates; Cercopithecidae.